UAGGGAAUCUUCCACAAUGGACGAAAGUCUGGUGGAGCAACGCCGCGUGAGUGUAGAAGGGUUUCGGCUCGUAAAACUCUGUUGUUAAAGAAGAACAUAUCUGAGAGUAACUGUUCAGGUAUUGACGGUAUUUAACCAGAAAGCCACGGCUAACUACGUGCCAC
RNAcentral lists this ribosomal RNA (164 nucleotides) under uncultured bacterium. Its description in RNAcentral is "partial 16S rRNA". It matches the Rfam family "Bacterial small subunit ribosomal RNA", at positions 355 to 511 of the family's 1533-position model. The record is from RNAcentral.